Molecule: ribosomal RNA, 429 nt
Filed under: Chloroflexota bacterium
Lineage: Bacteria; Bacillati; Chloroflexota
Description: Chloroflexi bacterium partial 16S ribosomal RNA
Rfam family: Bacterial small subunit ribosomal RNA
Source: RNAcentral
UGGGGAAUAUUGCACAAUGGGCGCAAGCCUGAUGCAGCCAUGCCGCGUGUGUGAAGAAGGCCUUCGGGUUGUAAAGCACUUUCAGCGGGGAGGAAGGCGAUAAGGUUAAUAACCUCAUCGAUUGACGUUACCCGCAGAAGAAGCACCGGCUAACUCCGUGCCAGCAGCCGCGGUAAUACGGAGGGUGCAAGCGUUAAUCGGAAUUACUGGGCGUAAAGCGCACGCAGGCGGUCUGUCAAGUCGGAUGUGAAAUCCCCGGGCUCAACCUGGGAACUGCAUUCGAAACUGGCAGGCUAGAGUCUUGUAGAGGGGAGUAGAAUUCCAGGUGUAGCGGUGAAAUGCGUAGAGAUCAGGAAGAAUACCGGUGGCGAAGGCGGCCCCCUGGGCAAAGACUGACGCUCAGGUGCGAAAGCGUGGGGAGCAAACAGG